This 238-nucleotide ribosomal RNA is filed under the name uncultured bacterium. RNAcentral describes it as "partial 16S ribosomal RNA". It matches the Rfam family "Bacterial small subunit ribosomal RNA", at positions 96 to 334 of the family's 1533-position model. The record is from RNAcentral.
CGGCGGACGGGUGAGUAACGCGUGGGUAACCUGCCUCAUACAGGGGGAUAACAGUUAGAAAUGGCUGCUAAUACCGCAUAAGACCACAGUACUGCAUGGUACAGUGGUAAAAACUCCGGUGGUAUGAGAUGGACCCGCGUCUGAUUAGGUAGUUGGUGAGGUAACGGCCCACCAAGCCGACGAUCAGUAGCCGACCUGAGAGGGUGACCGGCCACAUUGGGACUGAGACACGGCCCAG